UACGGAGGGUGCAAGCGUUAUCCGGAUUCACUGGGUUUAAAGGGUGCAUAGGCGGGUAUAUAAGUCAGGGGUGAAAGCUCCGGGCUUAACUUGGAAACUGCCAUUGAUACUGUAUAUCUUGAAUGUCGUUGAGGUUAGCGGAAUGUUGCAUGUAGCGGUGAAAUGCUUAGAUAUGUUGCAGAACACCAAUUGUGAAGACAGCUAACUAAGCGAUGAUUGACGCUGAGGCACGAAAGCGUGGGGAGCAAACAGG
This 253-nucleotide ribosomal RNA is filed under the name uncultured bacterium. RNAcentral describes it as "partial 16S ribosomal RNA". It matches the Rfam family "Bacterial small subunit ribosomal RNA", at positions 524 to 776 of the family's 1533-position model. The record is from RNAcentral.